UGGGGAAUAUUGGACAAUGGGCGCAAGCCUGAUCCAGCAAUGCCGCGUGUGUGAAGAAGGCCUUCGGGUUGUAAAACACUUUUAUCAGGAGCGAAACGCUGUCGGCUAAUACCCGGCGGAACUGACGGUACCUGAGGAAUAAGCACCGGCUAACUUCGUGCCAGCAGCCGCGGUAAUACGAAGGGUGCAAGCGUUAAUCGGAAUUACUGGGCGUAAAGCGUGCGUAGGCGGUUUCUUAAGUCUGCUGUGAAAUCCCCGGGCUCAACCUGGGAAUGGCAGUGGAUACUGGGAGGCUAGAGUGUGUCAGAGGGUGGUGGAAUUCCCGGUGUAGCGGUGAAAUGCGUAGAGAUCGGGAGGAACAUCAGUGGCGAAGGCGGCCACCUGGGACAACACUGACGCUGAGGCACGAAAGCGUGGGGAGCAAACAGGAUUAGAUACCCUGGUAGUCCACGCCCUAAACGAUGCGAACUGGAUGUUGGUCUCAACUCGGAGAUCAGUGUCGAAGCUAACGCGUUAAGUUCGCCGCCUGGGGAGUACGGUCGCAAGACUGAAACUCAAAGGAAUUGACGGGGUCAUAGCUGUUUCC
Molecule: ribosomal RNA, 586 nt
Filed under: uncultured bacterium
Lineage: Bacteria
Description: partial 16S ribosomal RNA
Rfam family: Bacterial small subunit ribosomal RNA
Source: RNAcentral